This is a long non-coding RNA of Gymnodraco acuticeps, 1128 nucleotides long. RefSeq lists it as uncharacterized. The record is from RefSeq and is a predicted model, not a curated record. The transcript has 5 exons. NCBI's taxonomy places the organism in Eukaryota, Metazoa, Chordata, Actinopteri, Perciformes, Bathydraconidae.
GCUGGAAAUGACAAGACAGAAGAACAACAAGAAGUUGACCGGUCCCCAGAGCCUCGAAGAGUGUCCUUGAAGAAACGACCGCAGGCUGAUUAUCUGAAAGGCACACCCAAGACUCUCAGCCUCAAAGAGGCUUUGGAGCUCUUCAGGCCAGACUUCAUCAGCCGAUCUCAAGGUCGGGUGAGGAGGUUAGAGCGGAGGGUUUCAAAAAGGAGAUUGCUGCAGGACUCCAAUCCAGACGUGGUGCAGGGCCUCAGGGAGGAACGAGACAAACAGAAGAGAAACUGCACCACACCGGAUCCACUUAGUGAUAACCUUUUCAAGCCUAGAGAGAGGUCUAUAUCAGGCAGAGAGAUGCAGCUGAGGUCCAGACGGAUUUACAAAAAGCUACCAGAGGUGACAAAGAAAAAAGAGGAGGAGAAGAAGAGGACCAUAUCACAAACCAACAGAUUGCGAGCGGACAUCUUUAAAAAGAGACUUCUGGACCAGAUACUGCAAAGAUAAAUUAGAGAAACCAGGAGGUGAAACUGUGUUAAUUCACUGACCAUUCUGGCUCUGAUGUAAAUUAAAUAGGAAUGUAUUUAAUUCAGUCAAUCUUCUAUGCAAAUCAUUUCCAUGCCUUGGCAUAUAUUCAUUUUAUUAAGGCUUGAUAUAUAUUAAAUAUCAUGUUCAAUCUUUACUUAUUCUAUCCUGACUGCUUAACAGUUAGAAUGAAUACAAAAUCAGAAACACAAAUUGGAUUUUGCAGAACAAGACGAUGAAGUUAUGACGGUGACAAAAACACACAUUUUGAGUAAUUUUUCAUUAUUUUCCAACUGUGUAAUCUUAUUUGAUAUGUUCCAGAGAAGACACAAUUCAAUCUAUGCCACAAUGGCAAGGACAAAUAAGCAUUUUCUUACCCAUAUUAAACUGUAUGGUAUUCUGUAUAUACAAAUUGUAUAUGAUGUUCAAUAUAAAUAACAAUUGUUGUUGUGUGCAGACAUUGACAAAACCUAAACUUCUGACACCAACACACACAAAUGAGAAUUAGGUUUACAGUUUUAUAUGUUGAAAAAAUGCAAUUAUACCUUUCUUUACUGUUUAAAUGAAUGCCCAAUGAUUAAAAGCAAUAGAGGCAAAUCUUGGCUCAUA